GAAAAUAUACACUGUAGCACUUCAGUAAACGACGUUACGGCCGGACCCAUACAAACGGAGUGCUGUGUUUCCGCGAUAAAAAGGACGUUUUUUUGACACUUUUUCAAAAUGUCUACCAGUUCAGAUUCUUCAGUAAAUUAUGAGGAUAAAUUUCCCCAUCCCUUUUCUGCUGAUGACAAGGAAUACGAGGAAUACCUCCAGCGUCCGAUAGACCCUCCCCCUAUUGCUGAAGAGUGGAGAGGCAGAGGAGGUGGCCACCAGAGGGGCAGAGAUCACCGGUCACAUGCCUACAGGCCAUACAGAGGGAGAGACAGUGGGAGGAACUGGUCAAACGAUAACCGAUACAACCAGCAGUGGCAGGACAGGGGUUGGGGUCACAGUCGCCAACAAUAUCAGCAACAAGGACAGUCUAGUUCUUAUGGACACCAAGGAUAUAAUUCAUACAAUCAAAGACCUUCCAGCAACCGUUAUUAAAGACGCUUUCCACCUGCCACAUUACAUGCUGUCACACAUCCCAGAUAGUCAUUCUUCCUUUAUGUUAAGUGAAAAUGGUUGCAAGGAGAUUCUUUUUUACUAUCUGUGCUUAAUGCAGAGAUUUAGAUUAUUUUUGACUGAAGGCUAUGUUUUAACCUUUUAAGUUUUUGCAGAAUUGUUACAGUAGGGAUACACUUGGCUCCAUAGAGGAGCUGUAGUGGGAGGAAAAGGUUGCCUGACUAGAUGUUUUGCUGAAAGGGUGGAGUGGGGAGGGAUCAGGUCAAAAGCCCUUUGUUCAGUUACUGGUUUUCCUUGUUGUUUUUUUUUUUUUUUUUUUUUUUAAGGUCAGGUUUUUCCUUACUAAGCCUUUGGUUCAAAUUCUGAGACCUUAAUUAUUUUGCUCUGCAACAACAAAGUAAAUCUCUUCUUUUUUACUUCCUAGCGAAAAGUAUGAUUUGCAUAAUUGUAAGGCUUAUUUUUUUAAAUUUUUAAAUUUUUAAUUUUUCCUCCCUAUAGAUUGAUAUCCAUAAGUAAUGAAUUUUGGACUAUUUUCCAAGCGUUUUUCCUCCAUUCUUUUAAAGAGAGAAAAAAAAAUCAAGUUAGGGUUGCAAAAAAGGGAACACGAAGCCUAUUACUUGAUUGUUUUGGGUUUAGUUUUGUAAAAUUAACAGGUGUUUUACAUUUUAAUUUAUUAAAUGGUUCGAAAA
Molecule: long non-coding RNA, 1181 nt
Organism: Polyodon spathula (Mississippi paddlefish)
Lineage: Eukaryota; Metazoa; Chordata; Actinopteri; Acipenseriformes; Polyodontidae
Exons: 3
Source: RefSeq, a predicted model, not a curated record